UUAUUUAUUUUCAGGUUUAGGUACAAUUCCAUGAAGAUGAAGCAAGUAAAUUUCAUGUUCUGUUUUGCUUGUUAUUGUAUUUUCGACAGUGGACAUAUACUUGAAUACUUAUGUUAUGUUUAAACAAAAUUUAGAUAAAUUUUUAAUAUUGGACAAUGCAUUUCAAGUUAUUCUUGGUUGAAUGGAUUUGUAUUCAAUAUUUGAGUAUUAUGCUUUAUUUUUUUUCUAAUUGAUAAGUAGGUGUAUCA
Molecule: long non-coding RNA, 248 nt
Filed under: Elaeis guineensis (African oil palm)
Lineage: Eukaryota; Viridiplantae; Streptophyta; Magnoliopsida; Arecales; Arecaceae
Description: long non-coding RNA (EGUI_LNC037013)
Source: RNAcentral